CCUACGGGUGGCAGCAGUGAGGAAUAUUGGUCAAUGGGCGCGAGCCUGAACCAGCCACGUCGCGUGAAGGAUGACGGCCCUCUGGGUUGUACCCUUCUUUUAUAUGGGAGUAAAUUGCAGUACGUAUACUGCUUUGCAUGUACCUUCUGAAUAAGGAUCUGCUAACUCCGUGCCAGCAGCCGGGGUAAUACGGAGGGUCCGAGCGUUCUCCGGAUUUAUUGGGUUUAAAGGGUGCGUAGUCGGGUUCUUCAGGCAGCUGUGAAAGGUUGCGGCUCAACCGUGAAACUGCAGUUGAUACUGGGAACCUUGAGUACAGGAGAGGUAGGCGGAAUUCGUGGUGUAGCGGUGAAAUGCUUAGAUAUCACGAAGAACUCCGAUUGCGAAGGCAGCCUACUGGACUGUAACUGACGCUGAUGCUCGAAAGUGUGGGUAUCAAACAGGAUUAGAUACCCUUGUAGUC
Molecule: ribosomal RNA, 460 nt
Filed under: uncultured bacterium
Lineage: Bacteria
Description: partial 16S ribosomal RNA
Rfam family: Bacterial small subunit ribosomal RNA
Source: RNAcentral